GUGACUAGGAUACGGUAGAGGUGAGUGGAAUUCCGAGUGUAGCGGUGAAAUGCGUAGAUAUUCGGAGGAACACCAAUUGCGAAGGCAGCUCACUGGGCCGCUAUCGACGCUGAGGAGCGAAAGCUAGGGGAGCAAACAGGAUUAGAUACCCCGGUAGUCAGGAUUAGAUACCCC
RNAcentral lists this ribosomal RNA (174 nucleotides) under Enterobacter cloacae subsp. cloacae. Its description in RNAcentral is "partial 16S ribosomal RNA". It matches the Rfam family "Bacterial small subunit ribosomal RNA", at positions 637 to 812 of the family's 1533-position model. Lineage: Bacteria; Pseudomonadati; Pseudomonadota; Gammaproteobacteria; Enterobacterales; Enterobacteriaceae. The record is from RNAcentral.